This 301-nucleotide ribosomal RNA is filed under the name uncultured bacterium. Its description in RNAcentral is "partial 16S ribosomal RNA". It matches the Rfam family "Bacterial small subunit ribosomal RNA", at positions 509 to 807 of the family's 1533-position model. The record is from RNAcentral.
CAGUAGCCGCGGUAAUACGUAGGGUGCAAGCGUUAAUCGGAAUUACUGGGCGUAAAGCGUGCGCAGGCGGUUCGCUAAGACAGAUGUGAAAUCCCCGGGCUUAACCUGGGAACUGCAUUUGUGACUGGCGGGCUAGAGUAUGGCAGAGGGGGGUAGAAUUCCACGUGUAGCAGUGAAAUGCGUAGAGAUGUGGAGGAAUACCGAUGGCGAAGGCAGCCCCCUGGGCCAAUACUGACGCUCAUGCACGAGAGCGUGGGGAGCAAACAGGAUUAGAUACCCGUGUAGUCCCUGUCUCUUAUAC